Non-coding RNA from Arachis ipaensis, 732 nucleotides. The record is from RefSeq and is a predicted model, not a curated record. NCBI's taxonomy places the organism in Eukaryota, Viridiplantae, Streptophyta, Magnoliopsida, Fabales, Fabaceae.
UGGGAUUAGGGUUCAGUCUUCAUAUCUCACCCACCGCCACUUACCUUUAGUUCCCAAAUCCCAACCCUCAAUUCACACCUCUGCAGACUUCAUCUCUUCUCCAAGGAUGCCGCCCUCUUCAGCUCUUCUCCAAGGCCGACCGCCUCUGCUCAGCUGCACCAGACCACCAGUCAGUCGCCGUCAAAGCUCGCCCGUCACUGCAGCCGGCCGGCAUCGUCACAGCCAUCGUCGGUCACCUUGUCGUUGUCCCUCAUCGAGCUCACAUCGGCGUCGCUCCCACUUUUCUCCUCAGUGUCACUGUUCUCACCGUCACUGUCCUCGCCGGCUCGCCUCUCCAGUCUGCGAUCUCUGGUCUCUGCUCGCCUCUCCCUCAUCGUCUUUCUGCUAACUGAUGGGUGAGGAGGUGAAAGCAAUUGUUCCCGAGUCUGUGCUUAAGAAGCAGAAGAGGGAGGAGGAAUGGGCCUUGAAGAAAAAAGGAGGAGUUUAAUGCUGCAAAGAAGAAGAGAGUUGAGAGCCGCAAGCUCAUUUAUAGGAGGGCAAAGCAAUAUGCAAAGGAAUACCAGGAGCAGUUUGAAUCUUGACCUUCAAACCUUUAAUGAUGAUGAAGAUAUGAAAAGUGAUCAAGAAUAAUGAUUGAAGACUCUUUUUAUGCAAUUUCUUUAUUAUACCAUUAAAUUUGUAGUGAUGAAACAUUAAUUUUUUUUUUUAAUUUCAAGUUAUUUGACACUGUUG